GAGAUACAUGUCACUGUUGGAGC
This 23-nucleotide non-coding RNA is filed under the name Cricetulus griseus (Chinese hamster). The record is from RNAcentral. Lineage: Eukaryota; Metazoa; Chordata; Mammalia; Rodentia; Cricetidae.